This 22-nucleotide unclassified non-coding RNA is filed under the name Mus musculus (house mouse). RNAcentral describes it as "oocyte_clustered_small_RNA11326". Lineage: Eukaryota; Metazoa; Chordata; Mammalia; Rodentia; Muridae. The record is from RNAcentral.
UGUACUAGCUGCUCACUGCCUG